AUAUUUACCUGGCGGGGGAGAUAACCAUGAUCAUGAAAAUGGUUUUCCCAGGGUGAGGCUCAUCUCCUGCACUCCAGGUGUGCUGAUCGCUAGGAUUUGUUGUGGUAGUUGGGAAUUAUGUUCACCCUUUCCCCU
This 135-nucleotide small nuclear RNA is filed under the name Dasypus novemcinctus (nine-banded armadillo). RNAcentral's name for it is "U1 spliceosomal RNA (ENSDNOG00000030413.1)". It matches the Rfam family "U1 spliceosomal RNA". From Rfam's summary of the family: U1 is a small nuclear RNA (snRNA) component of the spliceosome (involved in pre-mRNA splicing). Its 5' end forms complementary base pairs with the 5' splice junction, thus defining the 5' donor site of an intron. Lineage: Eukaryota; Metazoa; Chordata; Mammalia; Cingulata; Dasypodidae. The record is from RNAcentral.